Molecule: ribosomal RNA, 463 nt
Filed under: uncultured bacterium
Lineage: Bacteria
Description: partial 16S ribosomal RNA
Rfam family: Bacterial small subunit ribosomal RNA
Source: RNAcentral
GACGAACGCUGGCGGCGUGCUUAACACAUGCAAGUCGAGCGGUAAGGCCCUUCGGGGUCCACGAGCGGCGAACGGGUGAGUAACACGUGAGUAAUCUGCCCAUCACUUCGGGAUAACUCCGGGAAACCGGUGCUAAUACCGUAUAUGACCACUUCAGGCAUCUGAUGGUGGUGGAAAGUUCCGGCGGUGAUGGAUGAGCUCGCGGCCUAUCAGCUUGUUGGUGGGGUAGUGGCCUACCAAGGCUUCGACGGGUAGCCGGCCUGAGAGGGUGACCGGCCACACUGGGACUGAGACACGGCCCAGACUCCUACGGGAGGCAGCAGUGGGGAAUAUUGGACAAUGGGCGAAAGCCUGAUCCAGCAACGCCGCGUGAGGGAUGACGGCCUUCGGGUUGUAAACCUCUUUCAGCAGGGACGAAGCGCAAGUGACGGUACCUGCAGAAGAAGCACCGGCCAACUACGUG